Molecule: ribosomal RNA, 312 nt
Filed under: Pelobates cultripes (western spadefoot toad)
Lineage: Eukaryota; Metazoa; Chordata; Amphibia; Anura; Pelobatidae
Rfam family: Eukaryotic small subunit ribosomal RNA
Source: RNAcentral
UUGGGGUAGCCCCCAUGCAUAUAAAAAAAGACAACUCUGUUCCGCAGAGUAGCUGUUGACAUUAUAGUUGCGCAGGAACUUUGUUGACUCUAGAGAACCUCGGACAAAUCGCACAUCCCCGUGGCGGUGACUUUGCAUGCGGAUGUCAUCCAUUUCAACUUUCAAUGCCAGUUUGUGCGCCUACCAUGGUGACCACGGGUAACGGGGAAUCAGGGUUCCAUUCCAUACAGGGACCCUGGGAAACUGCUACCACAUGCAAGGAAGGCAGCAGGCAUGCAAAUGACCCACUCCCGCGCGGGAAGGUAGCGACGA